GUGGCCAUGCAGAAAGGACUCACGUGUGGGAGCUGAACGUGGCACGUCACAUCCAUCCCGUGAAUGGCUGCGCCCUUCAGAGGGUGGUGCCACCGCCAGGGGAUGCUGACACGGGUCAGUGGAGGGAGAGCCACCCACCGUCAGGACAGGCCGACGGCUGACCCGCUCCUGUUCCGUGCCUGGCCUUGCUCCUCUUUGGCCUUGAGGGCCCCUGCUUCCAGGUGCUCGGGAGCGAGCAAGUCCCUUUUCGGAGAGAGUGUGCGGCAAACAGGGUGAGAAGAAAUGUGCCACCGAAUUCCAUUCCAAACGCACACACGGAGCAAAGCCCACAGGCUAGCGCGGGGCAGAGACCCAAUGGAACAGGCCCCACAAAACAGCGCGGAAAUGGAUCCACUUUGCGGCAGUGACGCAGUUAAUCCUCUUGGAAGCCACAGUCAUGGCCCAGAACCGAAUGCCACCCUCCCUCUCGCUCCCUGGAAAGUCAAGGACAUCCAGCAACACCCCAAACAUCACCCGCCCUGCACUUCAUCGACACCUGCACACGUCGGCAAGUCCCGACGGUGCCCCUGCUGAGUCAGAGCGGGCGCUCACGGGCCCUCCAGCGCCACUCACCACCCCCGGGGGCCAA
Eptesicus fuscus (big brown bat) is the source of this 628-nucleotide long non-coding RNA. RefSeq lists it as uncharacterized. The record is from RefSeq and is a predicted model, not a curated record. NCBI's taxonomy places the organism in Eukaryota, Metazoa, Chordata, Mammalia, Chiroptera, Vespertilionidae. The transcript has 3 exons.